Gallus gallus (chicken) is the source of this 19600-nucleotide long non-coding RNA. RefSeq lists it as uncharacterized. Lineage: Eukaryota; Metazoa; Chordata; Aves; Galliformes; Phasianidae. The record is from RefSeq and is a predicted model, not a curated record. The transcript has 4 exons.
CGGCCUGGCCGGGCGGCCCGCAGCUGGAGAGCGGCCCGGGGCGGGCCGGGGCCGGGGCCGGGCGACUGCACCUGUGUAGCGGGGCUCGGGAGGCCUCUCCUUGCAGCAAGUCAGCGCGGAGGCCGUUCGGGCGUUCCCUCUGUUUUUUAAGUGCCGUACUCUAUAUGCUAUCAUUUUAAAAGCCGGCUCUGAAACUGCACGCCCAGAUUUCCUGGCUUGAGUAAAUGAAGAGGUCUGCUGAAAGCGCAGGUCAGCAGAGGGGCUCCACAUCUGCCCGGUUUCCUGGCCGGCCGCUUUGUUGCUUUGUUAGCGACUGCCUUCGGCGCUUGGAGACGCUGCGCCUCGGAAGGGACAAAGAGCAAACGCAAGGGCCACUUUGAAAGGGGACGUCCCUUUGCCAGCCGGCUGUAGGGCUCCGAUCAACCAAAACUGUAACAGCCACCUGAGAACAGGGCGACAAUCGGGAGUGCGGGGUUUGUUCCUUUUUCUUUUUCUUUUUCUUUUUUCCUUUUCUUUCCAGAGACUCGGGGUUUUGUUUCAGAAACUUCCCAGGCGUAGGAGCUGGCUGUAAAGGUUGCACCAGAUCGAUUCCAAGUUGUAUCUGCUUCACAAAAGUCAUUUUGGCAGCCAGGAACCGACAAGACCUGAAUCCAAAACCCAGCAGAAGUUCCGUGUUAGAAACUUUAGAGAAGGAAAAUGUCUAGCACUUGGGAACAAUGUAGGCUUUCAUGUGAAGCUCUUUGAAAAGUUAUAACGUGGUGAGAAGUCCUUGGAUUAAAUCUUGUUUACUCGCGGUGCCGACUGACACCGAGUCGGGGUCCGCUCCCUAAUGGGGAGGGGUUGUGGCUCUGUGCAAAACAGGCUGUAAGUGCAUAUUUGUGUAUGGCACCAAUACAAAAAGCUGUGACAAGCGACUGAAUGAAGUCAGCGCUUUCCCCACCGGAGUGGUUCAGUGAGUGCAUUUAAGGCCAUUCCUGCUCUCCCCUCUUGCUUGACGUUUUCCUGGCCCGGUAUGCUAAUGGAAGCCAUCCUAAGCUAGCAGGUAUCACCUGCCCCUGCGGGGAAGCAGCAGCAUCCUGUCCUAGUCCUGCCACCAGCGAACAUUUGUGGAAACAACUGAGAAAGCUCAGUUAAACGGCUUUAUCUUGCACUUGUUACGCUUCUGCUGAAUGCAGUUCAGGCCAGUGGGAAUCUGAGGUAGAUUUAAAGCUGCUGUUCGAGCACCGUGUCCCAGCAUUGCUCUGCUGAGCUCCCCAGGGUGGGGCUUUCCACUUACUACAGGGCUCUCCGAUGGGGAAGCGACUGCUGAGGGGGAAAAAAUGAUAGCUGAGGAAAGUGGAAUUAGCCAUAAUACAGAUGGGGCUUGUGUACCACCAAUUCCCCUUGAAAAAUGUGUUCAUCCUACUUGUCAUUUGCAUGGUGGCAGCAGCCAGGAGUCACAGCAGUGGAGCAGGCCCCUCUGUGCUGCACUGUGCGCAACUGCACAGCAACAGGACGACAUGCCCUCUGCUUGGUUGCAGUCUGAGUACUGCUCCUCCUCAUCCCCCUAGAAGUGGCCCCAUCCUAGGGGUAUCAGCCUGACUGCGGAGGAAAAUCUGCUCCCUCUGGAGCUGUGUGCAUGGUAAUUUGUAUGGAGAAAAAAAAGGAAAGGGUACUCUUAGUUUGUGGAAAGCUUAAGGGUGGUUAAGUAAGCACUGAGGGCUUGAGCUGGAGGGUACUUCUCAAUCACAGAAUCACAGAACUGUAGGGGUUGGAAGGGACCUCUGGAGAUGACCUAGUCCAACCCCACUGCUAAAGCAGUUCCCUACAGUAGGCUGCAGAUUUGCUAUGUGACUUUGCACUCUUCGAGCCGUUUGCAGCCUCGCAGGACUGAGGUUGCGUGGUGGCCACUAGUAAGUAAGAGGGCUGUGGCGGUGUGGAGACAUCGGGACUUUGUGAAUCCUGGAAGGUCUCAGGCUCCAUCCAAACAGUCCUCCGAGCCUGCUCCAGAAAGAACGCCAAUUAAAAUUAACACUGACCUCCAUCAGUCAUAUUCCACAACUGCCUGGACAUGGUAGCUCUUAAAAGAACACGCUUGAUCCUAACAGCCUGUUCUGCCUCUGUAAUCAAAGCACCCAGCACAUGACCCCGUGGUGUAUGGGGCAGUGGAGCAGCCGGUGCCUGCGGCAAUCCCAGUCUGUGGCUGAGAAUGCCUCACCCCAGUUCUUUCAGUGCUGGUGUAUUUUACUGCUCGUGUGUGUGCCGUGCAAAGAGCACAGAGACACUGCAAUCUGGAUUUUCAGGCAGUGUUCUGUGUCUUGGUCUGAGGAGCCCUGCCUGCUUCCUGCUUCAGCUGUCCAUCUUUUCCUGUGUGUUUGUUGCGCUACAGAAUUCAGUCUUGAAUGCAGGAAAACUACACGGACACAGGACCCAGAAACCUUCUGGAAGCACGAUCAAGGCAGGCACACAACUUCUUUGAUGACUUUUUAUUUUUAAGCGCUUUCCUCCUCUGCUUUAUUUCUGGGUUCACAUCAACAAAGCUUUCUUAUUUAUCCACUUCAACUGUGAUGUUUACUGCCAGGGCCACUACUUAAUUAUUUUCCUGCAGUACACAUCUGGAAGCAUUGUAGUUUCUUUCCUCUGUAUUGGGAUGCAUGUGAUUUGUUUUCUUGCCAUCCAGCUGGAUCAUACUCUUUUAUAGGCCGAGAUUUACUUAAGUGAGACUCCUGUCUCAAAUUGAACUUCCUCACCGUUUAGAAAACCAUUCUCAUCUUACAUGUAAAAGGGUGUUGAAUCCAGUUCAGGCAAUAACGUGUAAUCAGUAUUUCCUCCCGGGUGAGGUGUUUUCUAGUUGUUUGUGUUCCAUCAGAACAUCAGUGAGAGUUUGCAGGGAUCUGGAGAACCGUCUGCUUAGGGGUAAUUCAUAACUAAUGGACUCAUGGAGAUGUUGGCCAUCGGCUGAAAUCAAAGCAUGGAGGGAGCUGGCCCAUGGCUGCUCGUGGGGCUGCCACCAGCAGCACCUGCCCCAAACCCACUUCUGUGUGUUCCUGGUGCCGUGCUGGGCACCUCGGCCCCCUCUGGACUGGCUGCAAGGCACAUGGUGACUUUAGUGCAGGAAUCUGGGGAGACUUCCGAAAUGUACAGGUGCUGGAGCCAUUUUUCAUUCUUUGAAGCUUUCCAUAUCCCUGAUCUUGAUAAGUCUUAAGGAGUCAGGGCUACAGCCUGAAGCCCAGCAUUCUUACCUUUUACUGUGGCAGAGGAAAGGAGGGCACACUGAGAACAUCUCAAUUCUCUUUGUAAAAGAAUGUGGUGUAGACAGGGGAUGGCAGUCAAUAAGGAGUUAAGCCAGCAAAUGGUGUUACUGUUGGGUUUUUUUAUUGCCUCACCCCAGGCGUUUGCUGCGAAUCCUCUAUGUGAAAUGUGGUGGAAUUAUUGUGAAGACGUGUUGUUUAAAUAUUAAACAUUAAUGUCCUCCUUUUGAUGGUUAAGCCAGUAUUAAAACCGUUAAUUUUUCAUUAAAGCACCUUAAGCCAAAUUUGUUUAAACUCUCAGUUUGCUGUCAUCUUCGGGGUAGAAAACAGAAAGUAAAAGCUGUGCAGACCUGAGGAUAAAUGGGAGAGAAAUGCAGGAGCCAGCUCCGGGCUUCCUCGUGCUGCGGAGAGGAGAUGAAGGGGAAGGGAGAAGCAGCAGGAGGGGAAGGAAGGAGAAGAGCAGCUCUGUGAAGAGAGGACAAGGGAGGAAGAGAAUAGCACGUACAGAGCCGUGGGAAGGGCAGUGCCACACUAUGGCAGGGCUUGGCCCCAGCUGCAGUGUUUUAUCUCAGCUUUAUGGUGCGAUCGCCAGCUCCUAACAGCGGCGAUAAGGGGGGACCUGUAAAAUCGCAUCCACAUCUUCACCACUGCUCUGCGACCGCCAGCAAGGGAUGGCAGAAAUAUAGCUGCUAGGAGGUGUUUGUGCGUGAUCCUUUGGUGCAUAAAUGGCUCAAAGCUGUGGUUGGCGGGUAAGGUGGUGGCUGGGCAGGGAGAUGGGAGAGGAAGCGCUGGCUGAGGCUGCCUUUGCCAAGCAGGGAGAAGGAUUUUGCAGUAAUUGAGAUGUGAAACGCUGAGAGUCUUGACAAGAGUUUUAGCUGUACAGAUGGGUAAGGAAGGCCAUAUCUCAGAGACGUGAUGCAGAAAGAAUCUGCAAGCGGCAGAGAGCGGGCUUGGAUGGGAGCCCAGGGGAGGCGCCCGUGGGAGCCGCUGCCCAGGUGAAAAUUGCGCUCUGUGUGACAAUGGGAGAAGGAUGCACCAAGCUGACGGAGCGGUGACAUGGGCGCUGGUGGACUCACGUUUGGAACAUGUGAAAUGACUGAGGCAAGUAUUGAAAAAAAAUGAAAAAAGCAAAGGUAAUGUGGGGAGUGCUGCAGAGAAGACUGGGGAUGGUAGUUUUCCAUCCGGAGAACGGAGGAAAAAUCUCCUUGCUGUCUGACUGCAAAGCAAUAGCAGAAACAGAGCACAGAGAUCCUGUGCAAUGGGUACAUCUGUGGGAAAACACUGGGGACUUGAGAGGGUUGACUGGGGAAAACUAACAGAUAUUUUCUUAAAUGCCUCAAUCCCCAAACUAAAAGGCUGGAAGGGCAACACUCAACCUGACCAGAAGGGAGCAAAACUAACAUAAGUUACACGUAUAUAUUUGCAAAGGAAUCCAUGUUUGUGUGGAUUGUAUGUGGAGUAUGGCUACACAUAUGCACGUACAAAUCCAUAUAAAGGGUGUUGGAGGUCCACUCGUAGGGGGCUUGUCACUACAGGGUCUGCCCUGACCAUCAGAAGACUACCAGUGCCUUCAGGAAUGGUCAGGAAGAAAAGGGGCUCCCUGGCUUAGUUCCCAGUUCUUGCAUUUCCAUUUUGUCCAUGUGCGUCUGGGAGGGUGCACGCCUCAGUGUUUGGGUCACAUGGAUACACGUGUACCUGCAACAGAGAGGGAAGGCAGACAAGGUGCUGUUUAGGGGCAGAAUUGGUAAAAUAAAAAAAUGUUGGCUUAUUACUUUAUGAAGGUACAGUUAAAGGCAACUAAGGGGGUUUUUCAAAGCAUCAUUAAUAGCAGAGACCUGAAUAACGGUGUGUCACUAAGUGGAAGUCAUAAGCCACCAGCCAAGCAUUACACACAAAGGCCUCACUAUCAGUAAAUGCUCCUUCUGUGUGUUUGGGAAUAAGCCCACAGCACACGUGUUCCAGGAAGAUGGCAGUGAGGAGGAUGCUUGGUUCCUAGCACCAUGUGGGGUGACAGUGCUGUCGAAGGCCUGCAGGCCUUCAGUGACAUUUGUUAUCCUUUUUCUGCACAAAAACCCACUCAGUUGCCUUCUAACAAGCAAGUGAGCAAAUGUGUGUUUUUCUGGGCUGGUCUCAUUUGUAAUUUUACCACUUAUUACUUCUUUCUUUAAAGAGUCUAAUUUUUAUUAAAUACUAAUAGAAAUUACAAAGAAACUUUAUUUAGGUUAGCUAGCUCCUAACCAUUAGAUUAAAUCAUCUUUCCUUAGCCAUUCCCCCACUAUGCUCCCUGCAGGAUUGUCCCCGUGUGCAGGAUUACUGAGCCGUAGGUACAGUGGGAGAUGUCCCGGUGCCAAGUUGAGCCUUUGUCCAUAAUUCUAGCCAUAAUUCACCCUGCUCAGCCUGAGAUGUUCACAUGCUGCCCAUUCCCAUCAAACCCUGUAACUCUGUCAGGUCGGAGAUGGUGUUCUCGUUUUCCUUGCCUUGUGUUGCCUCUGGUUGAUUUGGAUUGUGCUGUGUUGUGUUGCCUUGCCUUGCCUUGUCCUUCCUUCCCUUCCUGACUGCUCCCUCCCUUGCUUGGAGGAGUACAUGGCCAAGUGCAGCCUGAGGAUGUGGAGGGAACACCUUGGGCAGCCUGGUGUAGUGAGGGCAGUUGGAAACCAGGCUGGGAGAGCAGCGAAGUAUGUUGGUGUUUGUAGGAAAGGCUUGGACAGGAAAGCACAGCCAAUUGCUUGUGUGCAGCAUUGCCAGAGACCUACAAAUUGCAAGGUAGAAAGUUUCCUCUGGUUUUUCCAAAGUAGAGGUAAUAAGAAGCUCCCAUGGCAUCCAUCAACAUCUCUUCAUGCCAUCACCUUGUCCCUGGCUCUGGGAGCACAGAUGGGCAGAAAGCACUGGAUGAUGUGCCUUACUGAACACCUGAGCUUCAGCUGCUCAUCUGAAGAGUGUGGGUCAAAAGAGAGUACACCUCUCUAUUGAGAGGAGAUGAUCUCCACUGCACUCCAGUGAGGUACUAAAUCUUCCACGGAUCUCCCUGAGGUAGUGAGAAGAUCCUUUUCUGUCACCAAUCCAUGGCCCAGCAUGUUAAGGAGGAGGGAGGCUUUGCAGGGAAGGACCUCUUCCACCUGGCCGAAAAAUCAAGAUGGCGGGGCCUGCCACAGGCUGGGCUCCCUGCAUACCUGGGCUGGCCUGGCAACAGGAGCUUGGUGCCAACAGCAGCACCUGCUUUCAGGCCUCUGCUUUCAAGGAGGCAUGGGAAAAGGGAAACUGGUGUGUUCAUUCCCCGCUGCUUUCCCUGCCCUUUUGCCCAGAGUGCACCGCUCUCCUCAGACAUAAGCGGCAUGGCCAAUGGGCAUGAAAAGGACGUGAUGGCAUGGGGCAGUUGACACUAUGGCCCCUGGGAACUUCCCCUGCGACCUGCCCCUGACACGAGGUGCAGCUCUGGUUUCCAACCAGUGUCAGCACUGGGGGCCUCCCUGCAGUGGCUGCUGAGGACCUAGAGUGUCCUCAUGCCACUCGCCAAGUCCUUCUGGUGCUUGCAAGGAGGGGCUGUUCAGAGGUGUGUGAAGGGAUGGGCAGGGGUGGGCGCUUGGGACCAGUUUUGGCUCUGGAUGGUGUUGGGAUGCAUUUGGGCUGGCUCCCUUGAUGCAUCCCCCUCUGCAGGGAUGUCCUGCUGAGAUCCAGCCAGAGCAGAGGGACAGUGCUUGGAGCUCAGCCCUGACUAUUAAAAUGCUCAUGUUUUGCAAAACCUAGUUCAAACCCAGGGCUGAACGAGGCUGAAAAACCAUCAGAUAACCAUUUGCUCAGUGGCUGUGUUGGAUCCCAAAGAAGCCAACCCAGGCUACAGGACCCUGGGCUUCAUGCCACUGGCAUGUCUUGCUUCCUAAAGCGACCCCACUGCCUUGCUAAGGUAUGAAAUCCCGCCCUUUUACCUUUGGGCACCCCGGGAUAAGGUCCCUACUGAUGGGGAGCAGAAGUGCUCCCGCCCUACAGGAGACGGGGAGCUGGGCUGCAGCGUGCAGCCAGAGCAGCCAGGCCGAGCCCUGCAGCCAGCGGGCAGCAGCCCCAGCACCACACAGGACUGCGCCCAGGGUGCUUAGCGUUACUGCCGGCUUUGGCAAGGCCCUUCUGGCUCGCCCAGUGGGAAGGAUUAUGAAUAAAAUUUCACGUUUCCCCCCAUCCCAAUUGUUCGUCACGUUUCUGUUAUUUCAUAGUGGCAAUCUGUCAUGGCAAUGAGCGGGGCCGGGUGGGGCUCGCCUGAGGCUCGUGUCCCCUGCACUGCCCGGCACAGCCCAAGCGGCCUGAUACGGCAGGAGUGGCGCGGUGAGGGGUGCAGCCGGAGCCUUGGCACCGCCGCCUUCAUGCGAGAUGGCAACAAUGGGGAGCUGCCGGCUGCCAAAUCUCAACACAGCAGGCACGGCUGGGUUCAGCUCAAGCAGAACGCAAGCCGUGCAGGACCCUCCAUUUUGGAAGAGAGCUAGCAAGGUCUGGCACUUGGAAUUCUUGGCAUCCACAAGUGUCUUCACUCUUUCUUAUCCCCUCCUGUUCCCAGUAGAUUUUGCAUCCUUUACAAUGGAUAAAUUAUACAUGCAGAGUUUACUCUCCUAACCGAGCUUCGAGAAUACCCCGGUGCCAGCCAAGGGAGCUGGUGCAUGGGGGAAUAGCCAGGAAUGUUUAAAAUAGUCUGGCCAUGUGACUUUGAGUUUGGAAAAAAAAAAAAAUCCUUCCCCCCAGCAUUUUAAAUGUAAGCGAACUUUCUUUUAUUGCAGGAAAGAGCCACGGGCUGCUCUGUGUGAGAAUCCUGGGCCGGGAGCUCUCAUUCCCCUCCUUCUCCCAGCUGUGUCUGGUCCCUGGGCACCCGCACAUGCAUCACUCCCUGCUGUUUGCUGCAGCCCUGGACAGCCCUGAGCAGGGACACACAGGCAGUGCAUGUCCUGGGUUGUGCAGGGGCCGGGUGGGAGCUCCUCCUCACGUGCUGUCGCCCUUUGCCUGUCCUCAUGUCCCCAUUGUGGUGGCACCCACCAGGCUCAAGCACUGUGGCUGCCCCGGGUGAGUGCUCCCACCCCUGGGUGAGCGCUUCCACUCCUCCGGAGGCAGAGGGGCAGCUCUGUUAACGAACCUUUUAAUUAUGGCUACCAGCUUGUGUUACAGGCCUCUGAGUCUCAUUUGAAUGCAGGCAACUUUAAGCUCUUUUGGCAGUAUGAAAGGGCCUCAGAGUGGAUUCCAGUCACAUGUGCACUUGCUUUUAGGCUCCAGUGCAGUGCCAGCGUGAUGUAAAGGGGCCUCCGUCAGCCGGAGGAUCAGGCCCCGCAUAUUUUACACUCUUUUGUAGCUUACUGUGACUCUGCUUAUCUCUAACAGUUAAAAACCGAGUGCCAAUGGUCUACACGCUGGAUACGUAUCAUGCAAAACCAAAUAUAGCACGGCUCAAGAACACUCUUUGCAUAAUGUACAUAUGUAUUUCAUUUAUUUUUGUAAAAAUUCUGCUUAAGCAUAUGGAAGGGAAGGAGUGAUAACACUGCCUAGAGGCAGAUAUAAUGUGGUCAGGCAAUGUGCAAGCUUCCUCACACAGCUCGAAGAAUGUGCUUGAGUUUGGAGUUGUUAUAUGAGUCCUGGACAAUUCCUUAGCAGCAAGUAGGUCAUACAGAUGAUUGUGUGGCAGGGGUCUUCCUUCCCAUCGGGUGGUGGAGAGCGUCCAAAUGCAUUUCACCUGGGGCUGGUGUUUCUCUAACCCAGAGCUAUGAAUGUGCAAGACUCUGGCUGAAAAUAACCACGUAGAUCCAUAUUUAGGAGCCUGUAUGCAUGGGUUUCUCUUCAAACUUUUGGCUUGCCACAUCGACGCUGUCCUACCAGUGAUUCUACAAACCCUCUACUUUACGUUGCAUUUCAGAACUACUACAGCCAAUUGUCAAAAAAAAAAAAAAGAAAAAAAAAAAAAGAAAAAAGUAAGAUUGACAGAAAAAAAUACCUAUGCUUAAUAAAAUUUAAACUUUUUUCUUCAUAAUUCUCCUUGCAUGGGACAACCAGACCCCAGUGAGAGAUGCUGAGAGGUGCUUGUUUGAAGUACUGGCUUCAAACAAGCUUCGGUCAUCUCCAAGCAUGCCUCUGUCCAUGCUGCUUUUCCCUACUUUCCUUGUAGGCAGAUGAAACCAUAUGUCUGAUAAAAGGAGUGGCUGCUGCUAGAGAUUGGGGUGUACCAUGUGUUUGCUGUGAAUUGUGCAUUCUUUCACAUCAAGCACUGUAGAAGCAUGGGUGUCUCUUUGACACUGCGUUGGAUGUUACCAGCUUUUGAGCGCUUAGCCAAAGCCAUCCCCAAGCCUCCAGGCCUUUGGCUAAGCCCUGUGGCCUAGCUAUGCCAGGGGAUACUCCCAUGUAAAACUCAUUAAAAAGUGGGAUGUGGAGAGCACACCUAAGCUAUUCUGGAGUCAGCGGGCUCUUGGCUGAGCUACUGGCAGGGUCAAGGUCUGAACAGCACAAAGAGAAGGGAAGGGAGAAGAAAGAGAGUUGCAAAGGUACCAGUAUGUGGUUACUCAUGGGCAUAGGUGCGGGUUUAACUUGUGGACAUUGGUUUUAUCUAUGAGUUUGCUUAGAUUUUAGCUCCCAGGAUUUGCCUUAGAAACUGAGGGAUUCUUGUGUGCAGUAUUAUCUCACUGGCAUAGGAGCACCUUCUGCUGAGAGGCUGUUUUGCAGAAGCAAAUAGGAGGACUGUUCUGAAUGAGAAGAGGUUGAAGCAGAGGCAUUUCAAGAGGACAAAGAGCUGUGACAGUGCACAAACACGUAAACAGAGGCAGCAGCAUCCAACAACAAAAGGUGUUUUUGUGGUAUGCUCUCCCAUUCUAUCCCAAGACAAAUUUUAACCUAAUUUUUUUACUCAUAAAUUGAUUUUCUUUAUAUAAUUUUGGGCAGCUGAAACUAAGAAUAAAUUAGAUCUUAGUCUGCUAACAGGGACCCUGACCAGAGGAGCAGUUAAGCCCACUCUUAGCAUGAAGCACAGGAGUUGUUCCUCCAUGUCAGCAGGGCUAUGCCUGGGCUUUAAGCUCAGCAUCUUUUCAAGUAUUUGGAGUGUAAGGUUCACAAGAGCUGGUCUCUAACCUCCUCCCUUUUCCCACUUUUGUAUGUCAAACAUUCAGACAUUUGCAUGUGAAAAUAAGUAGUGUUGCAAAGGGAAGUAUUACGGCUUUUCUACCUUCCCUUGAGAAAAACUGGCCUCCAGACUGUGAGGUGACUCUCAGUUUAGGAGAACUGCUCUGCUUAUCCCCAUCCCCAUAGCCCUGGGUGAGCAUGGUUGUGCCUGCAAGGGAGUGAAUUAGUGUGAGGUGUCUGUGGGAAGUCUGUGGCUCCCCGUGCUGCACAACGGAUGGGAUGGAAGGACUGGAUUUUAAUUUAAACAAUUAAUUUUGAGGGAAGUAAUAGAACAGAAAAGAAAGUGAAGAUGUAUUUGCCCAAGAAACCUCCUGAAAUGUCUCCUAUUUUUAGAAUGCUCUGCAAAUGCUUUUCAUGCAAAUGUAUACGCACGUAUACAUACGUAUGUAUAUCACUGUUAUGUAAAUCAGAGCUGGUUUCUUAUUGACUGUGUUAAGAAGCUUUGAAAAGGCUGUGACAUUUCCUUUUCUGCAAAGGAAUUUUUGUUUAUAAAGAAAUAAUUGAACCCGUGUGUCAUAAAGGUGUUUGGAAGCAGCCAGGCUCUGAUAGCUGUAUUCACACUGAAUGCGAUCUCAUUGAGCGAGCGGUCCGCUGCAGUGCUGUGCUGAAUGCUGAUCAACUUCCAGUUGCUCACUCAGACCUAAUGCCUGCCUAUGGCAGCCAGCAGAGCUCUAUCCAAAGUGUUUACAGGUGGCAGAUCCACCUCCGUGAGGUGUGUUGCAGAGCUGGAGAGCCCAAGGAGCAGGGCAGGCUAUGGAGUUGGUCUCACUGAAUGUUCCCCUGCAAACAGAGCUCUAGAGGGGAUGGAAAAGAGAUGUACCAGAAACUCGCUCAGUCUCUCCAUACUGCCAAAAACCACGGAUCUGGCCUGUGGAGCCACAGGACAGCCAUCACUUUUGGUGCACAGUCACACCGAGCCUUGUGUGUGUGUGUGAUGCUGCAGCCACAUCUCCCGUGAUGGCGCUGGGUGGGGUCUGCAGCAUCCGUGCACAGGGAGCACAGCACCCACCUUGCUGGUGUGCCUUUGGAGGGAAAAUUCCAUUCUCCAAACCACCGUGCAGGCCUCCAUCCUGCUGGCAAGCUGUCAGGAGAUGACUACUGUGGACCUCUUUGGUGCAAAACCACCUCUUAUAAAGUCAUCAAAGCCCAGCGGGAAGCCAAGAAUUCCUGAGGCUGGAUUGCAUCCCAGAGUGUCCAGUAAGCAAAGAUGUACAUUACAUGUAUGCCUAAAAUGGAAACAUGAGCUGGUGCUUACUUCUACAGCUUCAAAGGCAGCAGCCAGCGGAUCCUCUCUGGAGCCCAAAUGCUGGUCCCAGCCCACAGCCCUCAGUGCUGGCUGGGAUCAAAGGUGAGCGCCAGGUCCCAGGCCGCCGGUGCGGGAGCAUCUGCGGAGCAGCAGCCAGAUGGGGAGAGCUGCAAAUAGAGGGAGCCGCUCCACCACAUCUGCAUGAGGACGAAAACGUGCAGCAGUCAGAAAACAUCUUGGCAAAUCUGAUUUUCUUUCUGGAAGUGGAAAGAUGUUUCUUAGUAGCAGCUUCUGCCCAUGUCCGUCAGCUGCUUUGUGUGACUUUCCUUUUCACUUUCAGCUGUCUGUUCUGAGUGCCAAAGGAAAUGAAAAGGGAUUAUUUUACACCCAAGUCGUAUAUCCCUUAAGAAAGGGAGCACCCUGCUGUGCCAGCUAGUGGUUUCUAUACAGUGGCAAGACAUAGAAAACAGACACUGACUUUGAAAAGUAAAACUCUCCAGGGAGUCACUGCUCUCCCUGAGGAAAUACCAUUUACUGUGCACCAACUCCAUUUGUUCGAGGGACACUUUUAACGUGCUUCCUGGAUUUUAAUGCAGUUCAGGUUGUCACAGCACAGGAAGAUAGGAGCUGCCUUUGGUGGGUAUGAACAACGGGUUCGUAUAUUGGGUUUUGUGGCUAUAAAUAUUGUUUACCUAGAAAGACCAGUGAAUGAGCAAGCAGUGUGGACCAGCGAGGUAAGCGAGGCAGUGCAGUGGUGUCCUUUCACCAGCAGUGUCUCUCCUGGUGUACUCGGACAGGGGACAGGAGGGACAGUCACUGGAAUGCUGGAAUUCCACUGGGAUUUCAGCCCUGAGCUCCAGCCAAAGAGGUGAAACCAAACUGUUCCUAUGUCAUCUGCAUUUGCAGAGUAUUUGUCCCUCCUGCUCAUAAAGGGGAAAAAAAAUAAAAGGAGAGGAGAAGAAAGAAAGCCUCACACUUUCUGUGGCAUCUCAAGCUGGGGGGAAAGGCCAAGAUAAAUGGAUACUUUCAAGGUCAUUAGCUUGUGGAGCUCACAGUUUGUAUCGCCCUGCCAAAGCUCUGCUUGGAGAGGUUAUAAAUGUAUUUCGACUGGAGCAGGGAGCUCAUUGUUGGAGUUUGGAUCCUCUGCUUGGCUGACAGUGAAAAAUCCCAAUUCUGGUGAAGCAGCCCCCCUCCCGCUUGGAAGGUCUUUUGUCUAUUCAUCUGUAGCAGAGAACACAAUGAAUUAGAUGUGCAAUCGGAGAUAUCGCAAUGCCUUGCCAGUAUGGAUGCCACCAUCAGAAAUGCCUCUGGGAAGCUGACCUUCCCGGCGGCCCACCAAAAGGAACACAAAGUCAAGCCUUGUUUGCUGUCCUAGGAAAUUACCUUGAAAUGAUGACCAGCCCUCUCCAUCUCACCAGCCAGUAUCCCUGCAGGCUGUGAUGGAGGGACAGAGGAAGGGACAGAGCCAGAAAUGAAGGGUGUUGGGCAAGGCACUGCUCCUCUCCCCGGCAGACAUUGGUGCCACCCCACGCCAAGGCAUGGCGUGUGGGUGUUUCACAGCCUGCCUGACGAUGUGUGAGUGCACAGCUGAGCUGGCUGCCACCCUGCCUUACUGUCCACAUUUUUCCUGCCUUUUCUGACUACUUUGCCACCCAGCAGUGAUGCUGGGUGCAGAAUGGGUGCACUUAAGGGCACACCAUAUGUCGCUUUGUCAUCCACAUGUAUACCUGCAGUUCUCAGUUGGAACCAGCAUCCUUCGGCCUCCUUGCCCUGCCCGAAUGCUGUAUAUCAUGCUAUGUGAGACCUAUGUAAAGUCUUCCCUCAAAAUCAAGAUUUCUCAAUUUCCCCAGAUGCACGCUGGUUUUGCUUGGCACAUGGAUGCUGUUCCCGGCAUCAUGGGCUCCACAGGUGCCAAGGGACUCAGAAGUACUGCAGAUAAAUUGCUAUUUAGGGUCAAUGCCACAGGCUGAAAUGGAUAGAAAAUUCCAUCUAUUUGGUGCACAGUCAAACCAGAUGUUUUAUAGCCUCUGGUGGAAUAUCAGUAGACGUAUUUCACAGCAGUAAAGGUCAAAGAUGGACUCUAAAAUAAGUGGAGCCAGCAUUUUUGAUGGCUCUCAGAUUAGAGGAAUAUUUACUGGCAGAGAAUAUCUGCAGAACAAGAACAUCUCAGUCAGGAGCUGGAGAAAACUUUCAGCAGCAGCCAGCACCCCUCAGAGCCCACCAGGUCUCCCUGAACCUUGAGCCAAAAUGGAGGGCCUGCAGAGCCUCCAUGGGGCAGCAGGACUUCUCUCUCUCCAUCCAAGGCAUGAAAGGCAUCUGAGCAGAGUCCUUUCCCCCUUGACUGCACCCAGCUGAAGUGUGUACUCUGGGAAGUGAUUUCUGCUCAUCAUUUCCAGGCUGUGAAACUGAAGUAUGGGAAGCCUGGGAGGUGCAGCUUCUGGGAUCUCCUUGGCCUCUACUUCCCACAGCCCAUGGAGCCUACAAGGCCUGCGCCUUCCUCGCAGCUGUGGGGAGGUGCCUUCCAAGCUCUUUCUCCUGCCACCUCCAAGGGCCUCCCAGAAGUGGCCUCAACGUGGAGCAACUGGAAUUUACUCACAGCAGGCUUUGGAGGACAGUCAGAGACAUCUGAGAUUUAACUGCCAUAGGUUCAUUUCACUACAGAACUGUUCCCCAGGAUAAUCUUCUCUGUAUGUUUUAGUUAAUAAAAGAACUAUCCUGAAGCCUAUAUAAAGUAAGAGCUGCAAUAAUACAAUUUGAAAGUGGACAGGGCAUGAAUUAGUGCUCCUUCAGAGGUAUUUCUUAGAUGGCAUGCAGGGAUACUGAGAACAGAUGUUAUAUUGCUUUUAGAGGACAAAAAUGGGUCAAACCUUACAGCAAAGUCUCUAACUGUCACAUAGUCUCUGCUGUCCUAUAUUUCUCAGGAUGGAACCAUGAAGCACUCACUCUCCUGAUCCAGUUGUCUGAAGCAGCCCCAGUGUGCAGGAAGGACACGUCCCUCUGGGGACCAGGGGUGAAUGGAUGGCAAGUUGGUGUUGGAGAGGUGAAGAGGAGGUUGGAGACAGCCAUGGGACUCUCUGAGGAAGGCCCAGCAGCACAGCCAGUGGGAGCAUGAGAGGCCGUGCCUGUUUGCUGGUGUCCUGGGAUGACCUGGGGACUGAAACAUGUUGAGCUAAUAAUUUGCUGUUGCUUCCUGAAAAAGCAACCUCCCGUCACAUGACAUUUGUUGGAAAACAAGGUUUCCAUACGUGGCAAGGGUUAAAAGACAUGCUUAUUCUCCAUGUAACUGUGCAUCUCUGUGCUGACCAUAGGCAACCAACAUUGCAUCACAGGGCUUGCUAAUACCAGUGGAAGCCUCACCAAUCUUUGUGCUUUAAAUAAACUGACCUAAAAUGUCCUAGUAGCAAGACACCCAGCCAGAAGAAGGCCAAAGAGCAGCAGAAAGCUUACUGCGGCAGGCGACAAUGCAAAAUAACUCAGCCAUUCAAAACCAUUCAUUGUUCAUGUCAGCCCUUGAUUAAUAGGCGCUUAAAUUAAGUUUUGUUUGUUUGUUUGUUUGUUCUGGGAUUAGCUGCUUUGCUGGGAAGGAACACAAGCCCCUCAAGAGAAACAGGGGUGACACAGACUUAUGGCUCUCCUGCACUCUCACCUGCCUGAGAAGUGAAGGAGUCUUGUGGGGCCGUGACUACCGGCAUAGCUGUUCUUUGGUGACUGACAAUGCAGUAGGCAGAAGCCUUGGGGCUUCCCCUGAUCCUACAGAACCAGUCCUGGGAGGUAAUGCCACGCUCUGAGUGCUUUGCCGGAACAAAAGUUGGAUGUGCUUCCCAUCACGGUGAGGGGAACAGAAAUUAAACUUCAUGAGCUUGAACAAAAGACGAAUCACUGGGAGGGGAGAGGAGAGAGAAAGGGAGAGAAACCACAGACAAUUAGUACUGUACAGGCUCUGACAGAGUCAUUAAUGAGGGAUAAUAUCCAAUUAAGGAGGAGGAUGGAAAAUCUGGGGAAUGCCUGUACAUAUUCCAGUAAAUUGCUCGCAGAUCCUCCCUAUUCCCCUCCCCAACUCUGAUGAUCAUCUAAACGGGAAGAAAAUGUUGGAGUGAAAUAGAGUUGAUGGAAAUAUCUGGAGCCCCUAGGCAGGUGGCUGGCUUCCCGGAUGUCCUGGGAGUGCAGCCCCGCUCACAUGCCUCAUCAGAAAUGCACGAACUCAAGGGUGAGCGAGAGGCAGCCUGGAAGGCUCUGGCAAUGAUUUAACUCAAUUAAAGUCUGUGGGAGGGCUCAGCUUCACAUCAUGAGGCAAACACAGGAUGAGUAACUGAUAUAAGACCGAACAGCACUUUCCUUGUGCCUUUUGUCUUUAGAGUGGCGGGAGGUGGAUGAUAUUCCUGCAUCGACAUGGUAAUGCUGGAGCUGGGAAGACUGUGGUGAGGCAUUAAGGCUUUUUUUUGUUGUUGUUGUCAGAAAGGUCAUCAGCAACUUGGAAAUGCAGAUUUCCUUCUAACAGGAAGCCUCUUUUUUAAACUUUCUAUCCAUCUCAGCGUUUCUUUAAAUGGAACUGUUAGUCCUGUUGAUGUGACCUAAAUCAGCAAUGUCCUGCAUAGGAAAGAGAAAUAAUUCACAGUCCCCAGUGUCUCAGAAACACUUGUUUGGAUUGACAGAGCAAAGAUAUGUUUCCAGAUAUCCUCUUAUAAAAAUAGAUGGUAGCAAUUUUCAGAAUUUCAAUUUGUCUGGUUUUGAUGUUUUUGUGGGCUUUUCUUUUUUAUUUCAUCUUUUAAUUUUGUUUUUAAAGUAAAACAAAACCAAACAAAGCAAACAACAACAACAAAUAAAAACCCAAACUUAAAUUUUGUCAGCAGUAUUGUUUUCUAUUUACCACCCCUGUCCCUUUAUUUUUUUAUUUACCUUUCUUCAAGUGAUUCCCAGAGCAGUGCCGGGAGUAAAACUAAGGUGAUUUGUUUCAGCCGAUGCACAUGAAGUAUGUUAGGAGAGCUGGAGGAAAUUCGGAGACUUUUCUGGACCUUCACGGCCUUUCUGAAUGCCAUUUAGUCCCUUUUCCUCCCAAGCUCUAAGACUAAACUCUAUCUUACUGUUGCAGUAAGGCACAGGGACAAUUACAUGCCUGCAUUUACAAAUGGCUUCUAAACAGCAUAAUCACUGAGCUCCCAAAGGUCUGAAAGAUGGGGCUUCACUUGCUCUCUCCAUUGUUUCUUUCCACCACAGAAAUACGUAUACUUAGUCCCUUUCAGACACAGUGUAUACAACCAGUGUUUAUUGCAUCUAUGAAAGAUACGGAUCCCAUUUUUCCCAGGACAGUGCUGUUGGUGUGCACAAAGGCACAAUACCAGUAAGAUUAAUAUCAGCUUCUGCUUUGCCAUUCCAAGCCCCUGCUAACUGUAAAUAAUAUUUUAGCAAAGAUCUUGAUGCAUCAUGAUCUAUUGUGUUGCAGUGAUGAUGCUGCUUGUUAUGUCUUUAGCAGUGAUUUAUCAUCCUCUGCAAUGACACAAAUCACGGAUGGCUCAUGACACUCCAGGAUGUAUGAUCUCUUAGUGGUGGCAGUGAUGAAUUCUGCGCUUAGAUCAUAACAUUUUGAAACCUGGGAUGUGGAGCUGAUCCUUUGCUUUUUACUUUUAAAAGGUACCCAAAGCAAUAAAAUCCUCUCUUUGUUAACAAUACGUCAAGGAGAACAUCUCUCCCUUUCACGAUAGCUUGUUACGGUUCAUUCUAGCUAAGCCUCAAAUGGUUAUCAGGCAACUCCAGAUUACUCAUUCCUUUUGCUUUUCCCUCUACUAUCUUCUAACCUUUAAUGUCCUCCUCCUGCAUUCUGGUCCCAGGGACAUAUUUUGAAAUUCUGCUGCAUGUAUAAUGAGUAUAAAAUGUUCCUCUCGGAGCUGGAGAAAGCUCAGAUGUUUGGGUACAGUAGGCCCAUUCCGACACAACAAGCCUACGCUCAAGCUGUGAUCCCAACAGAGAAGAAAGCUUUUCAGGUCUGAGCUGCUCUCCUUCAGUGAGCUGCAGCCCUGCCGGCUCCGCUCCCAGGAAGUGGAAGCACUUGCUCUUGUUUAUUUUUAUCUGAAACAUCUCAGGUAAGAGAGGAUGGAAUGGGGAGGGGGAGUGUCAGAGCCUCAUUUUUCACUGCUGGGUCCCUCCUGCUGUCAGGACAGUGUGUUUCUACCUUGAGAAAUUCAUAAAUUAUGGGAAGAUUUCAGAUUUGGGGAUUUUAGCAAUGAAAAAAGAGAUGUUAAUGUGAAAGAAAAAGAAGAAGAAGAAGACGAAGAAGAAGUAAAAAAGAAAUUCCCUAGCAAUCAGAUAGGAUCAAGUGGUUCCCUCCAUGGUGACCACCACAGGUACUGGCACCCUGGGCUCAGGCCUCAGCUCAGUGGAGGUGGUGGUAGGUCCUGGUCAGCCAUCCUCCAUGGAGGUGACAGUGACCAAAUGGGUCCUUGUGCACCUCUGGGGGCACCUGGGUCUGCCCCAAGCCCCCAUCUUCAUUGCCAAUGCCUGCAGGCUCUGAGGUGGCUCAUCACCACUGGAUGGAGCACAAGAGGUGAGAGAGGAGAGCUGAGCAAUCCUCAUGGGAUACUGGGCUGGCUGGCUGCCUUGGCCUGGGCUCCAGCAUGGCUUCCAGGGAGCCCAUUAAUAACCCAGAGCCUGCUCAUGGGGAUGGGACGCCUCAGGGUGCCCUGUUGCUUGGUGCCAGCCCCAUCGGCUGCAGCUGCUGCCCACCAGCAGGGAUCUGGGCAGCUGCCAGUGCUCUGCCAGCCAGCGGUGCCCUGCCAACCAAGAGGUCCUUGGUGGAUGGAUCCACACCAGCACCGGACACGUUAUGGGGCAGAGGCAUCCUCUUGGCAUCAUGGCAGCGCUGCCACAGCAGCCAGGGCAAGGGUCAAGGCAAGGGGCAGGACAGCAGCGCAGCAAUUCAAGGCAUCAUCUCCUCAGAUGUGCACAGAGGACUGAGGUGCUGGCCCUCAGCCUGUCUCUGCAGGACACGACCAGCCUGGCCACUUCAAGGCUGUAGCGUGGUUGGAGUUGGCUGUGUGCGGCUGGUGGUCCAUCCUAUGGUCAAAUCUCAGGGAAGUGGCUUUUCUGACCUACUCCUUCCCUUGCAGAAGAGGAGUUCUCAGUCAGUCCACCAACCGUAAGAAUUCACUUCUCAAGAGAAGAUGGCUCAUUUUAGGAAGGGAGAUUUUUCUAGAACUUAGUAAAAUAAGAACUGUAAUUAUCAGCCAGAGACAGCAAAGCAUCAUGGAAAAUACUACCUCCAGUGGUGAAUGUUCAGCCACAUUACAAUACAACAAAGCGAGAUUCAAGAAUAGAAAAUCUCAGGCUAUUCUUUAGAGCUCAUUAGUGCCUAUGUUUUCUGUAAUUCAUUGCAUGAUAUGACAUCAAGAUAUAAUAUUGCUGCAACAGGCAAUGUUGUCCCCUAAGAAGAGACUUAUAAUGAGCAAGACACAAAUGCGUUGUAACACAUGCUUUCUAGGUUACAUGUUCUAGAGCGGUCAGCUAUGACAACCCAUAAGUGGCCAUUCAGACCAAACCUUUCCUUAUUACUGGUCUUAAAUGUCCAUUUCUAGAAAGGGAAACAUUUAUCUGUGGUUUGCAAAGGUGAGAGAAGCCAUUUCUGCUACACCUUCUCACGGUAUCCCUUUUCUUCACUUUCCAGUACAUAAGUGUGGCUGUCACUGAAAUUCUCAACAGGGGGGAUUUUACACAUCUAAUAGAUUUAUCACAUCCAGCACUUUGCCAUUUGACACCCACUUUGCUAUUUAUUUUGCCUCCUCCUUUACACUGCUGUGCAGGAUGAUGCUCCCAUCUCUUUAUAGAUCUUCAAGCUAUCUGGGGAGAGGUGGGGAUUCACCUUCAAAAAAAAAAAUAAAAAAGAUUGUUCCUGUUCUGGUGAAGGACUUGAGUGCCGAUGCAGCUCUAAGCAUGGGAGGAAGUUACGUGUGUUUCAUGAGAUGGCUCACCUUUAAAAUUAAACUACUUAAUAACUUUCAAA